CAUCUAACAACCAUGUGUGGAUCCGGUUCUUUGCAGAUCUAAACUAUACUAUUCCAUCCUCUGUUCUCUCUGAUUUAAUUCAGGUGCGUCAUGAACUUCAACGACAUCACGCACCAUUUCCUGCUUUCUAUUUAUGCUGCCCUUGAUCCGAAGAAAAGGAAAAAAAAAGUACGCAUCAGUAUGGACUGGAUUUCACUUGCUACCGUUUUAUUUAUUCCUAGAGCAAUUUAAAUCAUUGGUAUUCUGAAUUACAGGCUAGGCGCAGUCCAUGCAACUGCUAUGGACAUUCAGAUGGCCUCUCCUGAAUCUAUUGAAUUAUGUAUUGGGAGCGAUGGGGCAGGUCUAUUCGACCACGUGCUAUGUGUGUUUCUUCAGCCAAGAUUAAGGUGCCCUGCUUACUGCGCUUCAUAGUCUCCUAAAAGUCUUUUUUAUCGAUAAAAUUAUAGUUUAAUAUUUUAUAGUCCAAUGACUGCGGAGCUUUGGAUAAUGGAGCUACGUUUGCAUUGAUUCAGCAGAAAACCGAGCUUUGCAUUCGACUAUCCCACUAAAGUGUUGGCAUAUAAACUCCAUGGAAGUAUUAUUGAAUAAUAUUUAUAAAGCAAUACACAUUUGCUAUGCUUAACCUGAUUGACAAAUUGUCAGCAGGUGAAGUCAUGUGGUACUUCAAGAAACAAUUGUUUUUCCUCUCUUUUGUCCAAAAUUCUAUAUGAUCCUCCUGGAUAUUGAAAAAAUGUUGGUCUAGGUAUUUCUUGUAUGCUUCAGACUUGGAGACGCAAAAUACAUACUUUUUUGUGUGUAAACUUUGUUGUUCUCUACAUUAUCGUUUCUAGCUUCUUGGUACAUUCAAUUUCAUAUUGUACUUAUUAUCUUGAAAAGGGAAUAACUCAUCAAGCACUGAAAAUAAUUGACUCACGUUAUCUUCACUAUUUCCCCCUUUGAUUCUAGAUGCUACAUUUAUCUGCAGUGUGUUCUAACAUAUUGAUAUCGUUUUCUGUUUCCACUCAUCUGUAAAGGAAAUAAUGUUUGUGUUAUUGCUUGUUACGCGUGAGGUACACGUCCGUUGGGAACCCCAAGAGGAAGGUGUGAUGCGUACAUCAGCAAGUUUUCUCUUACUAAGAAACCAAUGUUAUCGAACCAGUAGGAGCCAAGAAGCACGUGAAGGUUGAUGGUGGCGGAGUGUAGUGCGGCGCAACACCAGGGAUUCCGGCGCCAACGUGGAACCUGCACAACACAAUCAAAGUACUUUGCCCCAACGUAACAGUGAGGUUGUCAAUCUCACCGGCUUGCUGUAACAAAUUAUUAGAUGUAUAGUGUGGAAGAUGAUGUUUGCAAAGAACAGUAAGAACGAGUAUUGCAGUAGAUUGUAUUCGAUGUAAAAGAAUGGACCGGGGUCCACAGUUCA
Molecule: long non-coding RNA, 1402 nt
Organism: Lolium perenne
Lineage: Eukaryota; Viridiplantae; Streptophyta; Magnoliopsida; Poales; Poaceae
Source: RefSeq, a predicted model, not a curated record